GUGCUACAGCAGCACAGAUACUAAAAUUGGAAUGAUAAAAGGACAAUUAGCACUUCCCCUGCUUAAGGAUGACAUGCAAAUUUGUGAAGCAUUUCAUAUUUAA
Nycticebus coucang (slow loris) is the source of this 103-nucleotide small nuclear RNA. The record is from RefSeq and is a predicted model, not a curated record. Lineage: Eukaryota; Metazoa; Chordata; Mammalia; Primates; Lorisidae.